CAUACGGGGGGCAGCAGUGGGGAAUAUUGGACAAUGGGCGAAAGCCUGAUCCAGCCAUGCCGCGUGUGUGAAGAAGGCCUUCGGGUUGUAAAGCACUUUCAGUGGGGAAGAAAGCCUUGGGGCUAAUACCCUCGAGGAAGGACAUCACCCACAGAAGAAGCACCGGCUAACUCCGUGCCAGCAGCCGCGGUAAUACGGAGGGUGCGAGCGUUAAUCGGAAUUACUGGGCGUAAAGCGCGCGUAGGCGGUCUGAUAAGCCGGUUGUGAAAGCCCCGGGCUCAACCUGGGAACGGCAUCCGGAACUGUCAGGCUAGAGUGCAGGAGAGGAAGGUAGAAUUCCCGGUGUAGCGGUGAAAUGCGUAGAGAUCGGGAGGAAUACCAGUGGCGAAGGCGGCCUUCUGGACUGACACUGACGCUGAGGUGCGAAAGCGUGGGUAGCAAACAGGAUUAGAUACCCUAGUAGUC
RNAcentral lists this ribosomal RNA (465 nucleotides) under Vreelandella stevensii. RNAcentral describes it as "partial 16S ribosomal RNA". It matches the Rfam family "Bacterial small subunit ribosomal RNA", at positions 338 to 795 of the family's 1533-position model. The record is from RNAcentral. Lineage: Bacteria; Pseudomonadati; Pseudomonadota; Gammaproteobacteria; Oceanospirillales; Halomonadaceae.